This 72-nucleotide transfer RNA is filed under the name Candidatus Omnitrophota bacterium. RNAcentral describes it as "Candidatus Omnitrophica bacterium tRNA-Thr". It matches the Rfam family "tRNA". From Rfam's summary of the family: Transfer RNA (tRNA) molecules are approximately 80 nucleotides in length. Their secondary structure includes four short double-helical elements and three loops (D, anti-codon, and T loops). Lineage: Bacteria; Pseudomonadati; Candidatus Omnitrophota. The record is from RNAcentral.
GCCGGGGUAGCUCAGGGGCAGAGCAGGCGAUUCGUAAUCGUCUGGUCGAGAGUUCGAGUCUCUCCCUCGGCU